AUAGCCCACGACGAUCCCCACCUCCCAGCAUUCAUGUCCUUGCACAGAUCCCUCCCAAGGUAACCAGGGCUAGCUGUGUAUAAGGAUAACCAUAAAUGACCUUCUGAGGCUAGGUCACAAAAGACACUGUAGCUCCGCCUUGCUUUCUCAGCUGUCCUGCUCUGAAGGAAGCUAGCUGCUGUGUCAUGACCAUACUCCUGCAGCCCUGUGGAGAGAGCCCAUGCCGAGGAACUGAGCCUCCGGCCAAUAUCCAGCACUAGCUUGCCAGGCAUGUGAGUGGGCCAUGUUGAGGCAGAUCCUCUAGUCCUAGUCAAGCCUUCCGAUGACUGCAGCCCUGGCUGACAAGUUGACUGCCACCUCAUGGGAAACCCUGAGCCAGAACCACCCAGCCAAGCCACGCCUGGAUUCCUGAUCCACAGACACCAUGAGAGGAAGUGUUGUUUUAAGCCACUAAGGUUUGGGGGAAUUUGUUGUGCAGCAAUAGAUAACUAGCACAGCAGAGAACUGGGUGAGAAGGCGAGAACACACCUACUUAAACAGGGUGGUCAGGAAAGGUUUUUUUGAGAAGGAGACAUUUAAGCUGAGAAUGGAUCAAAUGGAACUUCAUUUUUUUCUAUUCUUCCUCCUGCUGCCACUGCCAACUUCAGAUGGAAGAAGAGCAUUCCCGGACGAGGGAACCAAAUGGCAGAGGGAGGUCCUGAGUUGUAUGGGGGGCAGUGUGGCCGGAGCACGUUCCAACAGGGAAGUGGGAAAAAUGAGGUCACAGAGCUGGGCUUAGCCAAUUCAGAUAAUGUUCAUCAUAAAAAUGCUCAUUUAUUAUGCACAUGAUGUGCGUUGCAGAAAAAUCAAGAAAUGCAAAUGUUCAAAAGAGAAGCAACUACCGGUCGCCCCAAUUAUUGCAAGAUGAACACUGUCUUCGUGUUGAAACCCAAAAUUGCUGAUUUUAGGCAAUUUGGAAGAUACGGAAAAUAUAAAGAAGAAAAUCAAGGCACAAAUAAUACCACCACUUUCUGAGACUAGAAAGGCAGCUUGCAACCCAUUCACGCUUGCAGCUGUCACUCUGAGCUGCCAUUGUGCAAACAUUUAUUUCCUUAAUUCCAGGUUACCUUCUUACCUCAUUAGGAAAGGAAAAUAAAAGUUGAGGACUGUUCACUAUGUAGAGGGUUUUGGCACCAUUUUUAUAAUUCACCAUGAGAUGAGUAAGUUAGAGGGGCAGAAAGAGAGGUGUUUUAUAAUGACUGGGAGAGAAUCCCAGUGCUUGAUUCUCCCCAGGGACCCUAACCAACAACUUCCCUUUUAAAAAUACUAUAGGGACAGCACUUGAAGAAACAGGUAAAAUUUUGUAAUGCACACAAUAAGAAUGCUCAAACUGGCUGGGUGCAGUGAUUUACCUCUGUAAUCCUA
Non-coding RNA from Microcebus murinus (gray mouse lemur), 1404 nucleotides. The record is from RefSeq and is a predicted model, not a curated record. NCBI's taxonomy places the organism in Eukaryota, Metazoa, Chordata, Mammalia, Primates, Cheirogaleidae.